Populus nigra (black poplar) is the source of this 765-nucleotide long non-coding RNA. RefSeq lists it as uncharacterized. NCBI's taxonomy places the organism in Eukaryota, Viridiplantae, Streptophyta, Magnoliopsida, Malpighiales, Salicaceae. The record is from RefSeq and is a predicted model, not a curated record. The transcript is spliced from 2 exons.
GUUCGGUUCUCGAGACAACAAUAGCCCCUCGGAUAUCAAUUCCUCACCAGCUAAAGCCCAUGUCAGUAUUUCCAUUUGAGUUGGGUCUCCAGGAGUAGAGCACAUUUCUUCUCAGGCCUUCAUGCAUGGGGGCUUUUUUUAGCCACGUGUCAAUCUGUAAGGAUUAGCCAUGACAAUAAAUGCUCAGAGCUGGAGCUCUCCCUCACGACCCAGCUGUACAUUCUGGAUUGACAUUGGAGACCAGAUUCCUGGUUAGAUGUGAACUGUUAUGAUGUAAUGAAGAAUGACAAGAGGAUACGUGGGACAGGCUUGUCGGUGCCCCAUCUUCAUUUUGGUCAGGUUUGGAUCGACGUUUUGGGUCAUGUUUAUCCUUGUAAUAAUCCUCAGGAGGCCAUCUUGCAGUGCCGUGUUGCUGUAUUCUCCUUGGUUUGGGUCAUGUUUAUCCUUGUAAUAAUCCUCAGGAGGCCAUCUUGCAGUGCCGUGUUGCUGUAUUCUCCUCGGUUUGGGUCGAGCGUGCACUCGUGGUUUCUGACAUUAUCUAAGAUAAUUCUGAAAGAACUUUGGUGCCUUGGAGAUUCAAUUUUUACUUCGCAAGACAUUCUAAUAUAUGCGUCUUGAAAGACUUGUAAUUUUUUAUUGCGGGAUUUAAGGUUUCUGAGUUUCAAGAUUUUGUCAAGUAAAAGCUUUUAAGAUUCAUUUUGUGUUCAUUCAUGAUUGGUUUAUGACAUGUUAAAGUAUUUAUGAGUAGACCAAGAUUUAAUUUAA